Camelina sativa (false flax) is the source of this 110-nucleotide long non-coding RNA. RefSeq lists it as uncharacterized. Lineage: Eukaryota; Viridiplantae; Streptophyta; Magnoliopsida; Brassicales; Brassicaceae. The record is from RefSeq and is a predicted model, not a curated record.
AUGAAUUCACAGGCUUGUGUACUUCAGCUCAAAGGUCUUGAGAUAAGCAGAGGAAAGAUGCGUUGAAAAUUUGUUUGUCAAGUGGAAUCCAAGAAGAUAACAACAUACAA